AUACUUACCUGGCACAGGAGAUACCAUGAUCACAAAGGCGGUUUUCCCAGGGUGAGACUUAUUCAUUGCACUCUGGAUGUGCUGACCCCUGCAAUUUUCCCAAAUGUGGGAAACUCGACUGCAUAAUUUGUGGUAGUAGGGGACUGCAUUCGCACUCUCCCCUG
Octodon degus (degu) is the source of this 164-nucleotide small nuclear RNA. Its record names the gene U1. It matches the Rfam family "U1 spliceosomal RNA". From Rfam's summary of the family: U1 is a small nuclear RNA (snRNA) component of the spliceosome (involved in pre-mRNA splicing). Its 5' end forms complementary base pairs with the 5' splice junction, thus defining the 5' donor site of an intron. There are significant differences in sequence and secondary structure between metazoan and yeast U1 snRNAs, the latter being much longer (568 nucleotides as compared to 164 nucleotides in human). NCBI's taxonomy places the organism in Eukaryota, Metazoa, Chordata, Mammalia, Rodentia, Octodontidae. The record is from Ensembl.